This is a long non-coding RNA of Mustela erminea (ermine), 790 nucleotides long. RefSeq lists it as uncharacterized. The transcript has 3 exons. NCBI's taxonomy places the organism in Eukaryota, Metazoa, Chordata, Mammalia, Carnivora, Mustelidae. The record is from RefSeq and is a predicted model, not a curated record.
GUGAUGUCUGGGAAGAGACGCUGAAACAUGACUUUCAGAAGCCAUCCUGUUUGAAGGAUGAUUGUACUCUGGGAAGCAUUGAACUAUGACCAUUGUGUGUCCCCUCCAUAGCCUCAGAGUAUAAUGAAAGUCAGUUUCCGCCCUUUUGCAUUUAGCUUGGUCCACAAACGACACAAUUCAGGAGGAUUAACACCACCAGCUGGGAGCAAUAUCACAGAAAACGUUUUUGAAAGAUCUUGAAGCAUACCUACAGGCAUGUUGGUGAGAAAUUUGUUUCAUUUGAAGAGCAAACUCAGUGCCACAGACUGACACACCCUCUGAGGAAAACCAAGGGCAGAUCCAUUUUUUUAUAUAGGGGCAGGGACAUAAGAGAGCAAGAGCAGAAGCAUGCCAAGGCCUCUAGAUGUGAACCUGGCACUCUGUCGUUUUUGCCACAUUAUUUUGGUCAGUGCAUAUCACAAAGCCUGGUUAAAGUGGUAGGGAAUUAGACUCCAUCUCUCAAUGGAAGGAGCUGCAAAGUCACGUUGCCCAUGGUGUAGACUUCAGGGAGCAGCCAUUUUUACAAAUAAUCUUCCACACGGGCCAAACUCACUGAAGUACAGAAGUUGUGGGUGGUGGGUGAGGGGGGUGGAACAUGAGGAUAUCUUUUUAGGAAGACUGUGUUGGCAAGAACUCACACUCAAACACGAGAAGUCAUGGAAGAGACUGAAGGAGAUGGGGGGCUGAGUCAGUAAAUCUAAUAAAAGUUAUAAUGGUCACGUCUUAGUCCAUUUGGGCAGCUAUAACAAAA